Molecule: ribosomal RNA, 364 nt
Filed under: uncultured bacterium
Lineage: Bacteria
Description: partial 16S ribosomal RNA
Rfam family: Bacterial small subunit ribosomal RNA
Source: RNAcentral
CCUACGGGUGGCAGCAGUGAGGAAUAUUGGUCAAUGGGCGGAAGCCUGAACCAGCCAUGCAGCGUGCGGGAUGAAGGCCCUACGGGUCGUAAACCGCUUUUGUACGGGGAUAAAUCCCUACACUUGUGGAGGUCUGAAUGUACCGUGCGAAUAAGGGCCGGCUAAAUCCGUGCCAGCAGCCGCGGUAAUACGGAAGGUCCGAGCGUUAUCCGGAUUUAUUGGGCUUAAAGGGGGCGUAGGCGGGGCGAUAAGUUAGAUGGGAAAUCCGGGGGCUCAAAGCCGCCCCGGCAUUUGAGACUGGAGGGCUAGAGUUCACAACAGGUAGGCGGAAUGUGUGGUGUAGCGGUGAAAUGCAUAGAGAUCA